This 292-nucleotide ribosomal RNA is filed under the name uncultured bacterium. Its description in RNAcentral is "partial 16S ribosomal RNA". It matches the Rfam family "Bacterial small subunit ribosomal RNA", at positions 505 to 796 of the family's 1533-position model. The record is from RNAcentral.
GUGCCAGCAGCCGCGGUAAGACGUAGGAUGCAAGCGUUGUCCGGAUUUAUUGGGCGUAAAGAGUUCGUAGGCGGUUCGUUAAGUCUGAUGUUAAAGAUCGAGGCUCAACCUCGGGAGUGCAUUGGAUACUGGCGGACUGGAGUGUGGUAGAGGCUAGUGGAAUUCCCAGUGUAGCGGUGAAAUGCGUAGAUAUUGGGAAGAACACCGGUGGCGUAGGCGACUAGCUGGGCCAUAACUGACGCUGAGGAACGAAAGCCAGGGGAGCGAAUGGGAUUAGAAACCCUGGUAGUCC